UGGGGAAUAUUGCACAAUGGGCGCAAGCCUGAUGCAGCCAUGCCGCGUGUGUGAAGAAGGCCUUCGGGUUGUAAAGCACUUUCAGCGAGGAGGAAGGUGGUGAGCUUAAUACGCUCAUCAAUUGACGUUACUCGCAGAAGAAGCACCGGCUAACUCCGUGCCAGCAGCCGCGGUAAUACGGAGGGUGCAGGCGUUAAUCGGAAUUACUGGGCGUAAAGCGCACGCAGGCGGUUUGUUAAGUCAGAUGUGAAAUCCCCGGGCUCAACCUGGGAACUGCAUUUGAAACUGGCAAGCUAGAGUCUCGUAGAGGGGGGUAGAAUUCCAGGUGUAGCGGUGAAAUGCGUAGAGAUCUGGAGGAAUACCGGUGGCGAAGGCGGCCCCCCUGGACGAAGACUGACGCUCAGGUGCGAAAGCGUGGGGCAGCAAACAGGAUUAGAUACCCUGGUAGUCCACGCUGUAAAACGAUGUCGAUUUGGAGGUUGUGCCCCUUGAGGCGUGGCUUCCGGAGCUAACG
This 514-nucleotide ribosomal RNA is filed under the name uncultured bacterium. RNAcentral's name for it is "partial 16S ribosomal RNA". It matches the Rfam family "Bacterial small subunit ribosomal RNA", at positions 355 to 857 of the family's 1533-position model. The record is from RNAcentral.